RNAcentral lists this long non-coding RNA (828 nucleotides) under Aotus nancymaae (Ma's night monkey). RNAcentral's name for it is "lncRNA (ENSANAG00000039578.1)". The record is from RNAcentral. Lineage: Eukaryota; Metazoa; Chordata; Mammalia; Primates; Aotidae.
GUUUACAUAUAGUUUACUUUAAGAAUGAUUUAAGGCUACAAAUGGAAGCCCAACGCAUUUCUCUCUCUCUGGUUUAUUCAACUCAUGUGGAUCAGGUUCGUGAAUAUAUGGAAAAUGAAAAAGAUAAAGCUCUUUGCAGUCUUAAAGAGGAGCUUAUUUCUGCUCAAGAGGAAAAGAUCAAGGAACUUCAGAAAAUACACCAGUUAGAGCUACAGAAUAUAAAAACAGAAGAAACAGGUGAUGAAGCAAAGCCUUUACAUCUGCUCAUUGGAAAACUUCGAAAGGCAGUGUCUGAAGAAUGUUCUUAUUUUUUACAGACGUUAUGCAAUGUCCUUGGUGAAUAUUAUACUCCUACUUUAAAAUAUGAAGUAAAUGCAGAAGAGAGAGAGAAUUCUUGUGAUUACACUUCUGGAAAUGAAGAUCCAGAAUUGCAAGAUUAUAGAGAUGAAGUUCAAGACUUUCAAGAAAAUAUGCACACUCUUCUCAACAAAGUAACAGAAGAAUACAACAAACUCUUGGUACUUCAAGCACGAUUAAGCAAGAGACUGGUUUAUCUGCUGAUCCGUAUGUUUACAACUGGACAGCGUGGUCAGAGGGGAAAAUGGCACCGGCCAAAGCCAUCAUAACAUCUUCCCCGAUGGGAAGCCUUUUCCUCACCACCCCGGAUGGAGAAGAUGGAAUUUUGUCUACGUCUUCCAUACACUUGGUGGGCUUUUUCAAACUGCUAAGCUUCUUUACCUUUCCUUAAAAUUUCAACCUUCUCUUUUCUUAAUUCUGUAAUUGAGAAUGAUAACACUGAGAGUUAAUAACAGUUACCCUUCUAACUUU